UGGGGAAUUUUGGACAAUGGGCGAAAGCCUGAUCCAGCAAUGCCGCGUGUGUGAAGAAGGCCUUCGGGUUGUAAAGCACUUUUGUCCGGAAAGAAAUCCUUGGGCUCUAAUACAGUCGGGGGAUGACGGUACCGGAAGAAUAAGCACCGGCUAACUACGUGCCAGCAGCCGCGGUAAUACGUAGGGUGCAAGCGUUAAUCGGAAUUACUGGGCGUAAAGCGUGCGCAGGCGGUUUGCUAAGACCCGAUGUGAAAUCCCCGGGCUCAACCUGGGAACUGCAUUGGGUGACUGGCAGGCUAGAGUAUGGCAGAGGGGGGUAGAAUUCCACGUGUAGCAGUGAAAUGCGUAGAGAUGUGGAGGAAUACCGAUGGCGAAGGCAGCCCCCUGGGCCAAUACUGACGCUCAUGCACGAAAGCGUGGGGAGCAAACAGGAUUAGAUACCCUGGUGGGUCCACGCCCUAAAACGAUGUCAACUAGUUGUU
This 482-nucleotide ribosomal RNA is filed under the name uncultured bacterium. RNAcentral describes it as "partial 16S ribosomal RNA". It matches the Rfam family "Bacterial small subunit ribosomal RNA", at positions 355 to 824 of the family's 1533-position model. The record is from RNAcentral.